Molecule: ribosomal RNA, 253 nt
Filed under: uncultured bacterium
Lineage: Bacteria
Description: partial 16S ribosomal RNA
Rfam family: Bacterial small subunit ribosomal RNA
Source: RNAcentral
GACGGAGGGUGCUAGCGUUGUUCGGAAUUACUGGGCGUAAAGGGCGCGUAGGCGGCCCUGUCAGUCGGGUGUGAAAGCCCGGGGCUCAACCCCGGAAGUGCACUCGAAACUGCUUCGCUUGAGUGUCGGAGAGGAAAGCGGAAUUCUCGGUGUAGAGGUGAAAUUCGUAGAGAUCGGCAGGAACACCCAAGGGGAAGCCAGCUGACUGGCCCGGUACUGACGCUCAUGUGCGAAAGCGUGGGGAGCAAACAGG